Long non-coding RNA from Lampris incognitus (smalleye Pacific opah), 198 nucleotides. RefSeq lists it as uncharacterized. The transcript has 3 exons. The record is from RefSeq and is a predicted model, not a curated record. Lineage: Eukaryota; Metazoa; Chordata; Actinopteri; Lampriformes; Lampridae.
UUAAAAUGUUGUUGAAAAAUUCAUGACGCAGGACUGGGGUUAAGAAAUAUGGUCGGAUGAAGAACGUGUAGAUGCUUGAGUUACAGGUUUCAGUGCAUCCACAGCAUCACCAUGAGGCAGUGCAGGACCAUCCCCAGAGCGCAACAUGCCGUCGAAGCAGAAGUCUCUAUACGGCCCCCUCACACAACUGCUUCUCAC